Non-coding RNA from Mycena olivaceomarginata, 104 nucleotides. Lineage: Eukaryota; Fungi; Basidiomycota; Agaricomycetes; Agaricales; Mycenaceae. The record is from the annotation of a GenBank genome assembly.
GGCUCGGUGGCAGAAGGUCUGCAUCUGUAACAUGCAUAUGUUCAGCAUAGAAAUGAUGUGUAUUUCAACAGAACUCAAUGCUCGUUCGAAUCGAGCCCGAGCCA